This 917-nucleotide unclassified non-coding RNA is filed under the name Hevea brasiliensis (rubber tree). The record is from RNAcentral. Lineage: Eukaryota; Viridiplantae; Streptophyta; Magnoliopsida; Malpighiales; Euphorbiaceae.
GGCAGUUUGCACAUCUUGAGGAAAAUGGUAGUAAAAGUGGGCCGAUAAUUCCACUUGAAAGAAAACAUGUAUCUCUUCCUAGGUCUACAAUUAUACAUUCAAACACAAUUCCUCCCAGAGAACAAAAUAUUGCUUCUUUGAGAGAUCGGCAGGCUGCGGAGGAAACAUACAGCAAAAAUUCCCGAGAUUCUGAGGGAACUCAUGUAAAUAUAUCAACCCUGCAUGCGCCACAAAGAAUUCCAAUGGCUAAACCAGGAAAGGUUGUGGGGCCAGUUGUUCCAUACGACAAUGGAAGUAUUAUGAAAGAUGCCUAUGACCCAAGAACAUUUAUUAGAGGCUCGUUAGUUCCUCCUCAGGUGAUCCCUCCUGCAUAUGGCUACUGCAAAUCUAGUACAGGGAAGCAAGAUAGAUCUGCCUCAGAAACCCAGAGGGAAUUGUCUUCACAAAAGCAAGUCCAGCAAUGUAGCAUAGCUACUAAAUAUGCACCAGAUAUAGCUAUCAACAUCGACUCCAACCCCUUUUUUCUGACCCGGGCAGGAAUGAAUAAGGUCGAUGACCAAAUUUCAAUAAAUACAAAUUUGCUGCAUGCCAAGGCUCAGCACGGUGGGAUCAGCACUGCUGUAACUGCCCCGGCUUCUAACAGAAAAGUUGGCUCAGUUCAAUAUGGUAUGACAAAGAUGCAAGCAGUGGAAGGAGUCGCUGUUCUUGUGCUAAACGGACAGAAUCCAUGUACAGGAAAUUACAAAACUAAAGAAGAGCGAUGGAUGGAGCUUUUUUGCGAGAGCCAGUCGAGUUUAGGCACUAGGUUUGGUCAUGAGAAAAUACAUACUGGAUGUCGUGAAAAAGAUGUACAUAUAUUAGAUAAAACUCUACAUGAGAACUCAAUUUUUAUAAAAUAAAAAUCCCAAUAAAGCAAC